RNAcentral lists this ribosomal RNA (418 nucleotides) under Amynthas tuberculatus. RNAcentral's name for it is "partial 16S ribosomal RNA". It matches the Rfam family "Bacterial large subunit ribosomal RNA", at positions 1856 to 2593 of the family's 2925-position model. Lineage: Eukaryota; Metazoa; Annelida; Clitellata; Crassiclitellata; Megascolecidae. The record is from RNAcentral.
UACCUGCCCAGUGAUUCAACGGCCGCGGUAUCCUAACCGUGCAAAGGUAGCAUAAUCACUUGCCUAUUAAUUGUAGGCUAGAAUGAAGGGGUUAACGAAAUAAAGACUGUCUCAAUUAACUACCUAAAAAUUAUUUUCUACCUGAAGAAAGGUAGAUAAACUCGAAGGACAAGAAGACCCUAUAGAGCUUUAUUUUUCGGUUGGGGCGACCCAGGGCCAAAUAAUCACCCACUACAUAAAAGAUAAAUUAAUCAAUCAAGUGACCCUUCAAAGAUCAUUAAACUAAGCUACCUUAGGGAUAACAGGCUAAUCCCACUCAAGAGUCCUUAUCAACAGUGGGGCUUGGCACCUCGAUGUUGGCUUAGGGUAUCUAUACAGCGCAAAAGUUAUAUAAAGAUGGUUUGUUCAACCAAUAAUU